RNAcentral lists this ribosomal RNA (718 nucleotides) under uncultured bacterium. RNAcentral's name for it is "bacterial SSU rRNA". It matches the Rfam family "Bacterial small subunit ribosomal RNA", at positions 8 to 767 of the family's 1533-position model. The record is from RNAcentral.
AGAGUUUGAUCCUGGCUCAGGAUUAACGUUGGCGGUAUGCCUAAUACAUGCAAGUCGAGCGCUUGUAGCAAUACAAGAGCGGCGAACGGGUGAGUAACACGUUGGUAACUACUCCAGAGUCAGGAAUAACUCCUAGAAAUAGGAGCUAAUGCCGGAUUGUCCCGAAAGGGUAAAGCAGCAAUGCGCUCUGGAAAGUGCCUGCGGCCUAUCAGCUAGUUGGUGAGGUAAUGGCUCACCAAGGCUAUGACGGGUAGCUGGUCUGAGAGGAUGAUCAGCCACAAUGGAACUGAGACACGGUCCAUACUCCUACGGGAGGCAGCAGUAAGGAAUCUUGCGCAAUGGGCGAAAGCCUGACGCAGCAAUACCGCGUGGAGGAUGAAUGGCGUAAGCUUGUAAACUCCUUUUCUGGGGGAAUAAUUAUGAAGGUACCCCAGGAAUAAGCAACGGCUAACUACGUGCCAGCAGCCGCGGUGAGACGUAGGUUGCAAACGUUAUCCGGAAUUAUUGGGCGUAAAGAGUUCGUAGGUGGCUUGUUAAGUGAGAUGUCAAAGACCGAAGCUCAACUUCGGGAAGGCAUCUUAAACUGGCUCGCUAGAGGGAGGCAGAGGCAAGUGGAAUUCUGUGUGUAGGGGUAAUAUCCGUAGAUACACAGAGGAACUCCAAAAGUGAAGACAGCUUGCUGGGCCUUUCCUGACACUCAAGAACGAAAGCGUGGGGA